RNAcentral lists this ribosomal RNA (624 nucleotides) under uncultured archaeon. RNAcentral describes it as "bacterial SSU rRNA". It matches the Rfam family "Archaeal small subunit ribosomal RNA", at positions 147 to 776 of the family's 1478-position model. The record is from RNAcentral.
UAAUACUCCAUAGAUUAGAGACACUGGAAUGUUCUUUAUUCGAAAGUUCUGGCGCCUUAGGAUGGAUCUGCGGUCGAUUAGGUUGUUGUUGGGGUAACGGCCCAACAAGCCUGUAAUCGAUACGGGUUGUGGGAGCAAGAGCCCGGAGAUGGAAUCUGAGACACGAUUCCAGGCCCUACGGGGCGCAGCAGGCGCGAAAACUUUACAAUGCAGGAAACUGUGAUAAGGGAACUCCGAGUGCCCGUAUACGCGGGCUGUCCAGGUGUUUAAAAAUCAUCUGAAGAAAGGGCCGGGCAAGACCGGUGCCAGCCGCCGCGGUAAUACCGGCGGCUCGAGUGGUGGCCACUAUUAUUGGGCUUAAAGCGUCCGUAGCUGGACCGAUAAGUCUCUUGGGAAAUCCGCCGGCUCAACCGGCGGGCGUCUAAGGGAUACUGUUAGUCUAGGGACCGGGAGAGGUGAGAGGUACUCCGGGGGUAGGAGUGAAAUCCUGUAAUCCCCGGGGGACCACCGAUGGCGAAGGCAUCUCACCAGAACGGCUCCGACAGUGAGGGACGAAAGCUGGGGGAGCGAACCGGAUUAGAUACCCGGGUAGUCCCAGCCGUAAACUAUGCGCGUUAGGUGUAU